CGGUUUUUGAUGAUACGAAGCAUUCACUAAUUUCGCAUCUAGCCUUGACUUUUCUAUAUUGACAAAAUAUAAAACCUCUGCAAUUAAGAUCCGUUCGACGUCAUCCAGUUAUGCUUUGGUGGUGGCGGUAGCCCCUUCGGAGGUAAACCGUAUCCGAACCAACCGAAUGACUGACUGCCAUUAUGGUAUUCCUUCACAUGUGAUUUUGUCCAUUGAAAUACUGACAGAAGCACCUUCACUUGCAAGUUGUUUAAACAUAUUUUUCUGCCAGGAAAGAGAACUUAUUUCGCUUAUGCCUGAGCAUUGUGGUGUCUAACAUAUCCAUGCUUUUGUAUUCGAUAAUUUAAGUAGUUCCUUUUAAGUUAUAAAUAAUUUUUUUUGUAAGAUGACCUUACCGACUAUCCUAUUAUUUAAAAUCAUUUGCCAUGUUUGUACUCCCGCUGAAGGGCUUCCCAAUCUAAUAUUUCAUUCAAAUAUCACAUCUUGACAGGUUAAACAGUAGCCUUACAGAUGAUCCUUCUCUUUGUAUGAUCAGUAUUGGGAGGGCUUCGCAGUUCCAGAUGUGCUGAUGAGUUUGCUGGCGUUGGCUUUAACGGAACAGAUGGUGUCGGCUUACUUGAAAAUCUUGGCAGGUUGCUAUUCAUAGUGUCAGUUACUGGCCUGUCUUAGCAGUUUCUGCAUCUUUGCUGCUUCUAUUUUACUAUCGGCGCAAGGUGGCAUCUAUGUCGGGCUGUCGGCAAUCUGAACUCUCUUCGGUUCUCAGCCUCUGAACAUGAUGACCAUGUGGACUAAGCUUGCAUGUGGGUGCGUCGAGGAGCAUGUCCAACUUAUGAAGGGGUAACAACUAAUUGGUCAGACUGUGUGAAGACAUCAUAGAUUGGAGAACGUCAGAUAUGUGUCCUUGUGUUCAAGCCUAAAAGGGGCAAACUGUCGCUUGCUAUCUACCUGCUUUGACAAGGUUCAUAUGACAUGGCAUGUGAACA
This is a long non-coding RNA of Triticum dicoccoides, 983 nucleotides long. RefSeq lists it as uncharacterized. The transcript is spliced from 4 exons. Lineage: Eukaryota; Viridiplantae; Streptophyta; Magnoliopsida; Poales; Poaceae. The record is from RefSeq and is a predicted model, not a curated record.